AUGCUCUGGUUUCUCUUCACAUCAAAUAAAUCUUUUGCCUUUUACUAAAGAUUUCCACGGAGAGAAACAAAUCUGAGUUCUCAACCAAUUUUUUGAGGCCUUGCUCUGCAGGACU
Small nuclear RNA from Heterocephalus glaber (naked mole-rat), 115 nucleotides. Its record names the gene U5. It matches the Rfam family "U5 spliceosomal RNA". From Rfam's summary of the family: U5 RNA is a component of both types of known spliceosome. The precise function of this molecule is unknown, though it is known that the 5' loop is required for splice site selection and p220 binding, and that both the 3' stem-loop and the Sm site are important for Sm protein binding and cap methylation. Lineage: Eukaryota; Metazoa; Chordata; Mammalia; Rodentia; Bathyergidae. The record is from Ensembl.